UAGUUGGUGGGGUAAAGGCCUACCAAGGCGACGAUCAGUAGCGGGUCUGAGAGGAUGAUCCGCCACACUGGGACUGAGACACGGCCCAGACUCCUACGGGAGGCAGCAGUGGGGAAUUUUGGACAAUGGGGGCAACCCUGAUCCAGCCAUUCCGCGUGAGUGAAGAGGCCUUCGGGUUGUAAAGCUCUUUCAGCUGGAACGAAACGGUACAUCCUAAUACGGUGUGCUAAUGACGGUACCAGCAGAAGAAGCACCGGCUAACUACGUGCCAGCAGCCGCGGUAAUACGUAGGGUGCGAGCGUUAAUCGGAAUUACUGGGCGUAAAGCGUGCGCAGGCGGAUUGUUAAGCAAGAUGUGAAAUCCCCGGGCUUAACCUGGGAAUGGCAUUUUGAACUGGCAGUCUAGAGUGCGUCAGAGGGGGGUGGAAUUCCACGUGUAGCAGUGAAAUGCGUAGAGAUGUGGAGGAACACCAAUGGCGAAGGCAGCCCCCUGGGAUGACACUGACGCUCAUGUACGAAAGCGUGGGUAGCAAACAGGAUUAGAUACCCUGGUAGUCCACGCCCUAAACGAUGUCAACUGGUUGUUGGGGGAGUGAAAUCCCUUAGUAACGAAGCUAACGCGUGAAGUUGACCGCCUGGGGAGUACGGUCGCAAGAUUAAAACUCAAAGGAAUUGACGGGGACCCGCACAAGCGGUGGAUGAUGUGGAUUAAUUCGAUGCAACGCGAAAAACCUUACCUACCCUUGACAUGUCCAGAACCCUGCAGAGAUGCGGGGGUGCCCGAAAGGGAAUUGGAACACAGGUGCUGCAUGGCUGUCGUCAGCUCGUGUCGUGAGAUGUUGGGUUAAGUCCCGCAACGAGCGCAACCCUUAUCAUUAGUUGCUACGCAAGGGCACUCUAAUGAGACUGCCGG
Molecule: ribosomal RNA, 912 nt
Filed under: uncultured bacterium
Lineage: Bacteria
Description: bacterial SSU rRNA
Rfam family: Bacterial small subunit ribosomal RNA
Source: RNAcentral